Molecule: long non-coding RNA, 480 nt
Organism: Gadus morhua (Atlantic cod)
Lineage: Eukaryota; Metazoa; Chordata; Actinopteri; Gadiformes; Gadidae
Exons: 3
Source: RefSeq, a predicted model, not a curated record
CCCAGGGGAAGGCUCUGAGGCCUGGAUCACAGCCAUCUCCUUCUAGGACACCCAGCUGCUCUACUCAGCAAGCUGAAAGGCUGGGACCCCAGGAUGGAGCUCUCCUCUCCCACUUUCACCAGCAAGAGAAGAUGCUGCUGCUACUGCUGCUGCCUCAGCACUACACUUGACGAGAGUCUGCACUACGGUCUGUCCAAAGGCUGCAUCCCACAUGGCCGGUGGAACUACGUGCUCUUUAGCACAGGGGUCCAGGACCUCCUUGUCCCCAGUCUGGGAGGGUCCUGAACCCCACGGCCUGGACCCCCUUGGGGGAGGGGGGAAUUAAUUUGGCCUUUUCAAAUUGAAAUAAUAAAUGGAAAGGCAUGGCUUGGACAAUCUCUCCAAAGGCUAAUGCCUCCUUUGCUCUCAUUUAAUAACUGGAGGAGAGACCCUAGCUGCUCCUUCUGGCCCGCAUAUGCAUGGCGCUUAUAGGGAGGCCAA